UUUUUUUUUUUACUAGACUAAAAGAAUGUUUGUUUUUGUAGAUGUUGAAAGCCAGAGACAAGAUAACUUCAUUCUUUUAAUACACUUCUAAUAUCCAAAUCCGUUAAAGGAUUUUUAGGCUGCAUUAAUUAGGUAACCCGGAACCGGGAACACUUCCCAUAACACCCGAUGUACUUGCUACAUUGUUAGCAUCUACGCUCAUAUUAGUCUGUUUCUCUCUUAUUCCGAGGUCACCGUAGUCACCAGAUCCAGUCUGUAUGCAGAUCAGAGGGUCACUGCAGUCACCCGGAUCCAGUAUGUAUCCAGCCCAGAUGGUGUAUCAGCACCUAGAGAGGACCUCUACAGCCCUGAAAGACAGCGGAGACCAGGACAACUAGAGCCCCAGAGACAGAUCCCCUAACUCAAACUAACUUUGGAGUUAAGGACACAGAAGCCUGCUUGUGUGAGGAGGAGGUGAUUUUCUCAGCUUCUUUGGAAGAGAGGGAAAGACAGUUUAAGGCCACUGAUGAAGAGCAGGCGGUGACUGGGAUGAAUGCUGGUUAAAGAAGAGAAUGUGUUUUCCCCUAAACUGAUGCAACAGUGGUUUUAAAGAAGGACACUGCGAUGUAGAAGAUGUCACAUGCUGUGCUGAUGGGGCUUCUUCAUGACUACAUCAAUUAUGCUAAAGAGAUCAUGAAAAUUGACAGUUAUGCAUGAUCUGUAUUCACAGACUAUGAAACAAACUGUAUGUGU
Long non-coding RNA from Cyprinus carpio carpio, 732 nucleotides. Lineage: Eukaryota; Metazoa; Chordata; Actinopteri; Cypriniformes; Cyprinidae. The record is from Ensembl.